CUUUAGGUCUCCAGUGUCUCCCAAACAAGAAUCAGGCUGCAAAGCUAUGUGGUGCUUCAACACCCAAAUGGCCUCCCUGGCCCAAGGGAAUGAUGGAAAAGGAAGACCCUCUCACAGGACAGAGAAUAGACACUUCUGACAGUAAGAUGAAUUACAGCCCUGUUGGGCAAUUGCUCCUCACACAACAGAAGCCAUUUGCUGCUGAGACAUGAGACUUGUUCUAGGCCAGAGGUCCAAAAAGGACAGUGUUGAGCAGCUUAAAUGAAGAGAGCAACAUGUUUUUUUUUCUCAAUACAAUUCUCUAUGGGUUUUACUAUCUUCCCACAUUUAGUAUUGUAGAAGAGAAGCCUAAUGCUAAUUUAUUAAUUUGUUUUCUUGGCAGUUAAUUGUGCUUUCUGUUCUCAUAUUAUAUACAUUUUUACAUCGGUUCUCCUUAUUUUGGAAAAAUCAGAAAUUUUACUAAGUUUUUAGGACUGGUUGUAGGAAUGAAAGAAUGAAUGAAGAUGCAAGCCAAACAGUCGAUGGGUCACAUGAUGAUCAACUCUGUGGUUGGAAGUCAGGAAUCUUCAAAGGAGUGGGAUGAUUCUGCAAGAACUCCCACAUUCUUAGUGAUUGCACAGUACAGUCUGAUCAACCCUCCUGAAGAGGACAGCUGCUUCAUCUCGAUAAACCCAUCGUCAUAAAUCACACGAUGGAAUAUUACACAGCAAUGACAAGGAAUGAACAACGGGCCAUAAAACCACAUGAGUAAAGUUCAAAAACAUUCUGUGGAGUUGAAAAGUACAUGGUGUAGGAGUCAAUUUAUGAAAUUCAAGAACAUGUAGAGCAUGGUAUGACAGAAGUCAGCAUAAUGAAUACUUCUGCUGUGAAGAUUGACUGGGGAAAAGGAUGGAAAGACUUUCUGAGUGACAGAAACAGUUUGUAUCUUUAUCUCAUUGAAAGUCAGACAGCUAAAAAUUGACCUGGAUGCACACUUCAGAUUUCCACAUUGCACUGUAUUUACAUAACACUUCAAUUUUUAAAGGCAAAGGAAAGAAGAUGGUGACCCCUGUGGUAGUAGUGGAUGUCUCUCAGUGGUCUGAAUUCUAGAGAUUUUCCUGGCAUUAGGAAAAAAAUGCAGGAUUUUUAACACAUACGGCCAAGAGAAGUUGAAAAACAUAGCUAAAAUGCGCUUAAAAACAAAACAAAACUAAACAUUAGCAUAGGUUUUGUACAUCCUAGUUCCUCUCCCUCUCCUUCUCUUUCUCUCUUUUGUUCAAAUGCUGGAAGUGAACAACAAUUGUUUUGAUAAUAAAAUAACUACACAGUGUCAACAAUGUUUCCUUCAUUGAGUUUUGAGGCUACAGCAAUGACAAGAAAAAAUGGACUUUCAUGUUAAGAAUCUCACCAUCUAAAAGGG
RNAcentral lists this long non-coding RNA (1399 nucleotides) under Homo sapiens (human). RNAcentral's name for it is "HSALNT0122534". The record is from RNAcentral. Lineage: Eukaryota; Metazoa; Chordata; Mammalia; Primates; Hominidae.